UGCUCGUGUUUUACCGUGACGUGUCCCACCUCUUCCCAUUCCGAACAGAGAAGUGAAAGCGUCAUGGCCCGAUGAUACUAGCCGCUUCGGCGGCAGGGAAAGUAGGGUACGCGGGCAU
This 118-nucleotide ribosomal RNA is filed under the name Candidatus Jorgensenbacteria bacterium CG23_combo_of_CG06-09_8_20_14_all_54_14. The record is from RNAcentral. Lineage: Bacteria; Candidatus Joergenseniibacteriota.